AAUCCAGGGAGCUUCCAAGAACAUGAAGUUCUUUCAGUGGUGUUUCCACAGUAAAUUUUGCCCCAGCUCUCAGGUUCAGAAGUUGAUGGGAUGCCAGUUUGAACCAUAAUGUGGAGCUCUGACAUCUGGAGGGUGUGAUCACACUUGGUACUCACAAUGUUUCUUGACCUUUAGAGGACCUCCUGGGAUUGCUUCCAGAUUAACUACUUGUGCUGAAAUCCUACUCUUGAGAAUGGCUUUGGGGGAACCCCAGCCCAAAGUAGAAGCCACCAUUCUUGUCAAGCAACUGUCUUCUGUAGCCAUCAUUACCCUGUGGGUUCCAGGAACCUCUUCCUUCCUCCCGAUGCCCCUUUGGGCCACGCAUAAUCAUGGAUACCCAUCGUUUCUACUCCCAGAGUACAUGUCACACUUGAGUAUAUCCUGUGUUGUCCAUGCUGUCCAUUCUCUGGAUUAUGGCGGCAGAAGAAGCACUGUCUCAUCAAACAGACAUUGUUGACACACAGAACACAGACCCUCGUGCUCCCCUGUCUGUCCCUCCCACAGAUACUUUUCUCAAUCAGCAGCUUUCUCUUUGCCAUUGCAGAGGCUCUGGAGCAGGGAGCUCUAUGACAUUUCCAUUUUUCCUGGAAA
Long non-coding RNA from Bos taurus (domestic cattle), 630 nucleotides. Lineage: Eukaryota; Metazoa; Chordata; Mammalia; Artiodactyla; Bovidae. The record is from Ensembl.